GGCUGGCUUUGCACCCACUGAGAGGGCCUAUUUGAGCUGGAUGCUCGGAAAGGGUUGGGCUGGGCAGGUGAGGGCUGCCGGGACCGUCUCGCCCUUCGAGGGAAGGAGAGUUGGCCAAAUCGAGCCCAGGUCACCAAGCCAGAGCACCUCAGUUCCCCAGGACUGUGAUGGUAGCAGGAACGGUCCCCCAUAAUUGAGUGGACCCUGCAUGCAUCCUCUCUGUGCCCCACGCUGUAGGCGCUGUGUGAUGAUUAUUCCUGAGGCUCAGUGUGGGCAAGCCUCUUGCCUAUAGUCACGAUCCAUUGAGGGGCAGAGCUGGGGUUGACUCUAACAGGCCUGACUGGAGCCUGAGCUUGUCCCUCUGGUCCUCUCUGGCCCACCUUGUGCACCUCACAAGGCGAACAGAGUGAGGGCAUCAUUCGAGAACCUUGGAAAGCCCUUAAGAUAGGGCCUGAGUUGUAACCGUUGCUGUGUGCCUGGUGGGAGGACAGGCCCGGCUCAGAGCCUGGAACUGCUUGUGAUGGAGGACGGCAUCCACUGUGGGUCCUAGACCAAGGCUGACUGGGAAGUGGUGCAGGCGAGGCAUGCUGGGGGCGUGAACUCAGCAGAGGCCAUGCGGCAGGGACUCAGGAGGCAUUUGGGAAGAAGGACCUGCAGGGCCUGGACAUCAAAGUGAGGGAAAGGGAAGGUCCAGGCUGGCGCCCAGGUUUGGAGAGCAUUUGGGAUGGUGGUGCCCAGGUUUGGAGAGCAUUUGGGAUGGUGGUGCCCAGCUCUGAGCCGAGGACACAGGACACGGGAUGGAAGAGGGUGUGCUGAGUUUUGGGGGUGUUGCAUUUGAGCUAGCUCGGGGGGACACAGGACGGGAAGGGCUGUGGAGCUCAGGACGCAGCUGUGUCUAUAGGUCUGGAGGUCAGGAGAGAGAGGAGGAAGGUGGUUGGGAUAUGAGUGUCAUCUGUGGAUGUGUGGGUGAGAUGUCCUGUGGGUGGGACGUCAGCCAGGUUCCUGGAGGUGCUAACCCGUCCGCUGGUCACGAGGCUGGCCCGUGGCCUCCUGUACACGGCCCCAGAUGAAGACGCCUCCUUGCCCUGUCCAGCCUCUGGCUUCCAGCCUGCUUAACCCCUUGUAGGGCCUGAGAGCAAGACAGCACGGUGAGGCGUGCCAGCCCCAAGAGACACCUCAUACACAGAGGCUGCGGCCGGAAGGGGCCGAGGACAGGAUGGGCGACCCAGUCAUACAGCAACAUCUGGGGGCGGGCGGGUGAGUCCACCCACUGUGCAGGUGAGGAAAAGUUGCCCCGAGCUGGUGGGCAUGCUGUCCCACUUUGCAGAACCUCUGCCUGACUUCUGGGGAGACCAGAGAUUCAUGUCCAAUCAAGCAUCCUGGGAACGCCUCCAAUUUGCCAUGAAAUAGUUGUAAGUGUCAAGAAAAGCAGUUUCCAGGUUAAGGGAAGUCGAGGGGAAGACCCAUCCUUGGGUUUCUGGGUGGCAUCAGGCUAUAAGAAGCAGCUACCGUGGGUCUCUGCGGCCACAGGCCCCUGCCCGCUACCCGCCCGGACGGGCUCCCCUGGGGCCAGUGCUCAGUGCCAGCCUCUCUCCUGGGCCUCCAGGAGGACGCCUCCCUAAUUAGCUGCCAAGAGUGUUGCGAUGGGCAGCAGGCUGGCAGGGCCGGCCGGCCACAGGGAGCCACAGCCCGAAAUAAAUAGUCUCUCUGGGAAAGUUCUGCUGUCACCUCAGAGGCCCAGGUGGUCCAGGAGGACCCUGGCCUUGCAGCUUCCUCUGCUCCAUACGCCGGGGGACCGUCCAGGCAGGGGGACAGCACGGGCAAAGGUCUGGAGAUGCGACCACAUGGCAGAGGGACACUCCAGCCUGGGUGCCGCCGUCUUACCUCUGACAGCUCACAACGUGCAACGCUCUUUUAAGCGGCAGCAGCAGCAAGAAUCCUGAAAAUCUGCAGACCUGGUCUGUGUGGCUCCAGAGUUUUGAAGCUGAAGGAUGAAACGGGUGAGCACAAGGGGUGGCCACGCUGGAUUUCCUGGUCUAGAUGACCUUUGAGUUUCCUGCAGAGCCUGACAUUCAAGGUUUCAUGUUUCCCCUAAAACAAGGCAGAGUCGGCCGUGUGCUCCUCGUCUGAGGCUGUUCGGAGAGACACAUGCUGUCUCUCUCUUGACUGUGUGGCUGACCCAGGACUUGGAAAUGGCAGGACAGCAGCGUGCAGGCAGCCUUGGGGAGGGCCUGUGCAGGGAGGCACCUGUCUAGCCCGGGUCUGCAUCACCAGAGAGAAACAAUCCCCGUGUUAAGCCAUUGUGAUCUGAGGGCUUGUUUGUUACUGCAACUCACCUAUCCUGUCCUGACCGAUACAAGAAGGUGCUGGAGAAACAAUAAACACGGAUGCAGCAUUCAAUACACCUCAUCCUCCUCCAUCCUGUGAUAUUGGCGUUGAGAUCCCGACUUUACAGACACGGGACAGGACAGCAGCCAAGUGAAGGAUUCACCUGAAGUCAGCUGGCAGGUGACAGAAGAGGGACUCAAACUCCGCUCUGUCUGGUUCCGGGGGUUUUUCAUUUCACGAGUUUCCUCCCUGUCUGCAUGCAAGCCCCUGGUGGAAUGCGAGCUAAUUUUGGGGGGGGGGGGUAUGUGGAUGAAAAAGUUAAAUUUAAUUAACUUUGAAUUUAUUUGAAGGCACAUUGUAAUAAAUAUAUAAACUGUACAUCAAACCAGUGAUUUCACGGCUACUAUUUUGUAGGAGGAGGAGAAAUUUUUUCAAAAAGUGCGUUGAUUUAGAGUGAAUUGAAGAGAAGGAUUAACUUGAUAACAGUAAAGCUGUAGGUGGAUCCAGCAAAACCGUGAUGACGGUGGGCGAAGGAUGAAGGGGGCACCCGGCCCUAGACCAGGUGGCACCUCUCGUCCCAGGAGUGCGAGCUCACCAGGUCUGCUGUUGAGGAAAAGACUGGGCGGGGGGCGCAGGGGCGGGCGCUGUGCGCCUUCCGCUGAACCACGCUCUGCUCACGGCCCCUCACUUUAUCACAAACGCUCUCUC
RNAcentral lists this long non-coding RNA (3036 nucleotides) under Equus caballus (horse). RNAcentral describes it as "lncRNA (ENSECAG00000047174.1)". Lineage: Eukaryota; Metazoa; Chordata; Mammalia; Perissodactyla; Equidae. The record is from RNAcentral.